UUCGUUAACACUGAGAAGAAUAUUGACAAGUGUCCACUGUGAAUGUUGCUGCAGCAAAUUAACCUUCUAUUCACUUGUAAUAAAUUGAUACAUUUAAUAUAAGAUCAUUUGAUAAAUUAAAAUGUAACUUUUGCAUUAGACAAAAGCAACAUUAACACCAACAAAGGCUCCAGUCGGGCUUGAUAUCAAAUGAGAUGUUGGGAGGAGUGAUUGUUGCUCAUGUUUCCGCAUUCCCGAGUCUUUGUUCCGGCGCAGCUCGCUGAGGGCCGGCGCUGGUUCAGGUGCCACCUUCUAUAAAAGGAGCAGCAGGUGAGAGCUGCCGAUGCGGAGUUGCUGCCCAGUUCGCUGAGAGUUCAUCGCUCUCACUCUCAAAGGUCUGGACCUGGACCUGGACACUGCCAUGGGGGACCCAAACGCAGGAGAAGGAACAAGAGAGGCCACAAGCACAGGAAGUGUCACAAGAAGGGGAAGGACUGUCAUGGGUCAUCCAGCAGCUCCUGCAGCAGCAGCAGCGACUCAGACUAGAUGAAGCCCGGUUGAAGGGAGCAGAACCAGAACACCUGGACGCCUUCCUUCAUCUGCCGACCUUUUUCUUCAUUUUGUCCUAAAAGCCCAUAACAUGUUCUUGGUCCAAAAUCUGUAAAACAUUCAUUUUAUCUGAUUGUGUAUGACCUUGGAUUAAACGAGAGAUUCAAAAUUGUGUUUCUUCUUUGACUCCCUAAAUAUCCUAGCAAAAGAAGUUAAUUUUUUUUAAAAUUUUAUUGGGUGAAUUGACGUGAUAAGUUGUGGGUGUGGUUCUUACUUCGACCACUAGAUGGACAUAAAGAGGCGCGUGUUUUAAAGAGUGUUGACCAGAAUCCAUCAGCGAUCAGACAUAAAUCGGAAUAAAUCUGAUCAGAUUAUGUGAUUCUGCCUGGAUGAAAUGUUGGCUGACAGGUUUGUCGUGUCUUUAAAAGGUCUCAAUAGACAAAAACAAAACACUUUCUUUACAGAA
This 994-nucleotide long non-coding RNA is filed under the name Takifugu rubripes (torafugu). RNAcentral describes it as "lncRNA (ENSTRUG00000030329.1)". Lineage: Eukaryota; Metazoa; Chordata; Actinopteri; Tetraodontiformes; Tetraodontidae. The record is from RNAcentral.